Molecule: long non-coding RNA, 2279 nt
Filed under: Nicotiana benthamiana
Lineage: Eukaryota; Viridiplantae; Streptophyta; Magnoliopsida; Solanales; Solanaceae
Description: long non-coding RNA (NBEN_LNC034466)
Source: RNAcentral
GAUACACCAACUUCCAGGAUCAAAUUUCCAAAGCCUUUCUCUUAUUUGGGAUGUUUCAAAGUUCAUAAGAGCCUCAAGUGGACUCCGGGCAAUGCUUGCACCCAAAAUACAUUGCAGAAUUAGAUUAUAGUGCAGUGUGGAAGAGCCAGCCCUCAAAUGUCUAAGUUCAAAGGGAACUCAAGGUCCCAAAGCAUGGUUCAUAGGAGGGGAGCAGAAUUUAGAUUCUAAGAGUAAGUGUAAGUGCAUAGAGGGGAGUUAGGGAAGAUCAUGGCAGGAUGGUGGUCAUGCUCAGCAAUUAAGUGUGCUGGCACACCCCUGACCAGCCUGUUAGCCAAAUCUUAAGAGUUAGGAUCCAUUGAGGUGACCUGGCUAGUAAUUUGAAUACUGCUAGGCCAUGAGCCUUAACUCAAACACAUAGAAGGGAGUAGGGGUAGGGAUUCACACAGAAACAGAUGCAAGAAAAGAACAUGCAUAGUCAAUAUUGCACAUAAACAACAACGUAGAUUAGAGUAAGGCAAAUAUAAAGUAAACACUUAGGGAGAAAGCAGAAAUCAAAACUGAGAAAUACCAGUUUCAGGAAAACAAAUAAGUAAAACAGUAGUCCUGAAAAUCCAAGUUGCAAGUAAACAGUACAAAGAUCUUAGAAGAGGGUAGAGUGUUGAAAGAGCAUUAUCAGUGUGAGAAUAUUGAGCUUGAAGUGUUCAAUAAUCAAUGCGUGAAUAGAAGGGUUGUGCCCCUUUUAUAUUGCAGCAAGCAAGUAAGAAAAGGUAAGAAAAUAACAUUGAAAUCAAUCUCCCUUUAAUUAAGGACUCUGAUUUCAAACGGGCAAAGACAAUUGAGGAAAGAAUUUAUCAGAGUACUUUCUCAAGCAGUACAAAAAGGAUGAAUAAAUGAAGUUAUUUAAGGCAAAAGUCCAGUGGUAUUUGGCUUGUGAAAAAAUAAGGAAAGCGAAUCAAUCAUACAGCCAGUAAAAUCAAAGUUACAGGUUUUUACUCGAAUGAACCAAGUCAGGAAAAGGUAAAGAAGGUUUCAUUUAAAGGAAAUCAGUAACAACCAUUAAACCCCGUUAAAGGAAUUCAGAAUCAAUUAUUAGUUGGCAAAACCUUUUUGAAAGAAGAAUUUCUCAUAUAUAAAGCAGACAAAUCAAACAAAAGAGGUCGUCAUGUUACUUAGAAAGGAGUCUAAUAUUAAAAGGUUUAAAAUUAUAAGUAAAAGAUACAAGUCUAGUUUGUAGACUCAAAGUAAGUCUUAGAGUCCAGGGUUCCAAUGCAGAAUCAUAGUCAAAAAAUCAAACCAAACUUGCCAAAGAAACCUCCACCCCCCAAAUCCUAGGGUUUCAAAUCGAAUCAGACAUAGAGAUGAGAAGGCAAUCCAUUGAAACAGACUUCAAAGAUCUAUUUUAGAGCCUCAGGAGAAACAAAAUAAAUAUAAUAGCAGGUUUAAAACAACAAAGAAAGAAAGCUGAUUUAAGAGCAUAAAAGAACAUGUUUUAGAAAAGUCAGAUCUUAAGCAAGUGGUGUAAACCUAAGCCACAGUAGAUAGAACAUGCUUAGCAAGAACACAAACAGACUCCAGUGGAGCAAACAAAAUAAAAAAAACUCAACAGAAAACACAUAGAGUAGAAUAAUAUCGGAAAGUAUACGAAGAGCAUGUAGGAAAAUAUAGUAAAGAUUAACAUACAGAUCUAGUCUUAGAGGCAAUGUAGAACACAAAGCAACAUGAGUAUCAUGUAUAGCAGAAAAAAAACAUACCCGUAGUAAAAGGGAAACACAUGAGCAUGAUAUAGACAAACACACAUGAAGAAUAAAAGAAGAAGAAUCAGAAAAGAAGAAACUCUAAAUCGACGACGAGUGAUUUUGAAAAGCAAAAUUUGGGGAAAAUACUUCAAAUGUCUGGUAGAACACAAAUACAUCAGAGAUCUAAGAAAAUAAACGGAGAAAAAACCUCGAACAGCUUAGGGUUUCGGAGAAACCCUAGAAAAUGAGAAAGGCUUAGAAAGGUCAUAUCCUGGGUCGAUGUGGUCAGGAAUCGGGCUUCCCGUGCUUGAAUGUGUCGGAGCAUAGCCGGAGAAGCCAUGGAAUCCAAAGAUCUGAAAGAGAACCAUCGAAGUCAAACUUCAAAACCUUGAACACCCAAGUUCCAAUGGUGGACAGGGGGAAGUAUAGACCAUCCAUGGCCUAAGAAGCCAUGGAUUACGGUGAAAGUACGGUGAGAAAAGGUAGGAGAAGGCUAGGGUUCCAAGAACCUUGAGAGAUAAUUGGGAGAAAGAGUAAUCAAAG